UACAGAGGUGGCAAGCGUUGUUCGGAAUUACUGGGCGUAAAGGGCGCGUAGGCGGUUCGUUAAGUCCUGUGUGAAAUCCCCCGGCUCAACUGGGGAACUGCACAGGAAACUAGCGGGCUUGAGUUCGGGAGAGGGAAGCGGAAUUCCGGGUGUAGCGGUGAAAUUCGUAGAUAUCGGAAGGAACACCAGUGGCGAAGGCGGCCAUCUGGACGGUGACUGACGCUGAGACGCGAAAGCGUGGGGAGCAAACAGG
This 253-nucleotide ribosomal RNA is filed under the name uncultured bacterium. Its description in RNAcentral is "partial 16S ribosomal RNA". It matches the Rfam family "Bacterial small subunit ribosomal RNA", at positions 524 to 776 of the family's 1533-position model. The record is from RNAcentral.